RNAcentral lists this long non-coding RNA (4261 nucleotides) under Coffea arabica (coffee). RNAcentral describes it as "long non-coding RNA (CARA_LNC000486)". The record is from RNAcentral. Lineage: Eukaryota; Viridiplantae; Streptophyta; Magnoliopsida; Gentianales; Rubiaceae.
UUCUUCUUUCCUUCUUUUCUUUCUUUCUUUCUUUCUCUUCUUUCUGUCUUCUUCCCCGCUGCCCCUAUUUCCUUUCUUCUCCUUUUUUCUUCUUUCGGACGCCGCCCUUUUCUCUUGUUUCUUCGACCAUUGCGCGCCGCCUCCACCAGACGCCGCCUCCACCAGACGACGCCUCCACCUGCAGCCCACAGUAGCACGGGCCGCCGACACCAUCUCCAGCCGCGAUCCGCAACCCCCAACCCGCGCGCCGCCGCCACUGCUGUCCAGCACCUCGCGCGGCCAACAACUCCAGCUUCGUCCGCCACUCCCAGCUCGGCCCUGUCCUCCCUCGUUCACCCCACCACAGCCAACACCAGCUUCCUCCACCGCUGUCCGCGUGCGACAGCAGACCAGGACGCCACCUCUUUCCUCCGCACACCUCGUACGGCCCUCUACCUCACUCACUCCCCGUCGCUGGUCGGCACCACUGCCCAGACGCCGCAACUCGCGCCACAGCACUAGGCCUGACCAACCAGCGCGCCGCACGCAGCUCCUCGUGCGCGACAGCCGUGCGACGCCGCGCCUCCCUCAGCAACAGCUCCAAGCUCCAGCAAGCGCCACCACCAGCUCACUGCUGUCCAGCACCUCGCGCGGCAGCAACUCCAGCCGACAGAGCACCGCCUCCUUGAUCACCAGUUCCGCGGCCACGCACUUCACCACCUGUCCAAUUGAGACAGGUGGAGGUAUUAUACAUUCUUUCCCUAAUUAGUUUCAAUCUCUGAAAUUUGUGGUUGAAUUUCUUGUUGGAUUUGGGGGAAAUUGCUGCUAUAUGUGGGGUUAUUCUCUGAUAAUUAUUGAAUUUUUUAACUUGUGGGGUUAAUUAUGUGGGGUUAAUUUUUUUACUUGUGGCCCUUGAAUUGACAUUGGCUGGGCAUUUUUCUGCGUCUGUUUGUUGAAUUGGAGGGCUACUGUGUCCCUUCCUUUGCUAAUUGCUGAUUGAUUGUGCCUAAUUAACCAACUUGGGUUAUUUUGAGUCGUAUUGCACGUUUGGGCUGUUUUGUUCUUAUAUUGGAUUCUAUUGGGGCUGUUGCUCUUUAUUAAUUGCAUUUGCUGUCUUGUUGGGGAUUGUUCUAGCCUAAGGGUGCUUGCAUUGCUUUCCUGUCCGUGCACCAGUGGUACUGGUGGCAGUAUUGCUUUCCAUUUCUUCAUUCUCUGUGCUGAACUGUCUCUCAAUUCUCACCAUUUAUUGCUGCAAUUGCUGGUUAAAAUUGGGGGCACCCGUGACGCUUAUAUUUGCUACUUGGUUGUUUUGGGUUGCUUGCUGGUCACCAUGGUGAAGCCUCGAUCUUCUUCUAAGACUAGGACCCCUAGGACUCCUCAGCCCCCUCCACCCCAGCAUUCCAUUCCCGCCUCUGACCCCUCGCACGACCCUUCCUCCUCUGGGAGGCGGGCUCGUCUUGGGCGACAAAGAGGCGUCCAUAUCUCUGACCCUGCACAUUUUGGGGGUCAUUUGGACUUCACCAGGGCCGCCGACAAGGGGCGCUAUGAAGCGGUUUGUGAACGACGGAUUAUUCCUUGUCGUUAUCGGGACCCCGCCAUCUUGGGCCUUCUAAAUAUUAGCGUCCCCUUGCACGAUUUGAUUGAGGCCAUCGGGUGGCGCCCCUAUUCUCGUAUAACUGACCUCCCAGCCUUUGUUGAAUUAGUUAGGGAAUUCUAUGCCACAUUUGAAUUCAACCUUCCCACUGGUUACACAGUUUCCACCCCUGAUGUCAUCCGCUUCCGUUUAAUGGGUCAGGAAUUCCACCAUUCCAUAACUGACUUCAACCUGGCCUUUGGUUUCAUUGAUCCUGCCUAUGCUGAGUCUAGGGAGUAUGCCGAGAGUGCAUGUGACUAUGUUCAGCCGUUUUUCUCCCUCUAUCGCUUUAUUUGGGAUGAGAUGUCUGUCGAUAGGGAUAACUAUGACCCUCGUCUCUCUAAGGGUUCUUAUCUUAAGGACCCGGCGUCUCGCUAUAUCCACCGUUUUUUAGCUUUCAGUUUCUCGGGUAGGCGAGAUAGCUCGGGCGUUUUGUCUAAGCCGGAGUUUUUCUUUAUAUGGUGCAUGCAUAAUAACGUUAAAGUUAACUUGGGGUGCUGGCUCGCUUCUCAGUUCAAGUCCAUUUUGCCUAAAAAGAAGCGCCCCUUGAUUCUUGGGUCUUACAUUACUCACUUGGCUAUUAAUUUGCAUGUCCUUGAUAUUUCUAACCACAACUUGCAUAUAGCCUGUCAAAUGGAGCCUUUGGAUAUUCCGAGCUUGGAGAAAAUGGGCUUAGUUCGAGAGGGCGACAAUGGUUGGGAGGUUGUUCCCCCGGGACCGCUACACCCUCCCCCUCGUUCAUCCUUUGCCAGUGCCUCCACGGCAGGCGGUGAUCCCGGUCCAUCUUCCUCCGUUCCCUCCCAUUCCGCCCAUACGGAUGAGGAAUGGAACCAGCUCCGCAACACAGUUGAGCGGCUUGAGAUUCGGCAGAAACACAUGGACGUUAACAUUCACAAUAUGGCGCAGAAUCUAGCGGCUUUUAUGCAGCAAGCCGGGUUCCCUCCUCAAUUUUCGCCUAACCCACCCUUGUCUUGACGCCUUCAGGGAAGUACCGUUGCCCCUCCCCUUUUUCUGCUAUUAUCUUUUCACAUUGAGGGCAAUGCGUCAUUUAGGUGUGGGGGCGUCAGUUUGGGUGCUAGUUCUCGUUUCUUUAUUAUUUUUUAUCUUAUUUUCUGUUUAGGUGUUGCUCCUCUAUCCCUUUUGAGUGUCUUUCCCUUGCUUCUAUCUUGGUGAAUAUUUUUGGCAGCGCACUUUUUCUUGUUAGUUGUGGUUUGUACUAUGAGUUGAGUUACAGUGGCAAGUAAAAGCAUGCCUUCUUGGUGAAUACUUUGAGUUUAACGGCGUGGUGCAAUUUCUGGCUAACUCGUUUAGGCAAUAUAAAUAUUUUGCUGGCAUUGUUGUGUAGUUUGGUCUCCUGUUUACCUUAGUUCUCCAUAUUUGGGACAUGACGCAGGCUAUGAUAUGUAAUUAUUUGGUAUCUUGGUGUUUUAUGGUGAAUAACGUAUGGCUAUACUCCGCUAGUGUCGCCACCUAGUAACCGGGAGUUUUCACCACAAGUGUCGGCUCUCGCGUCAAAAAGUGACGAUAUCUAUGAGUAAAUAGUCCUGGAGCUAUGAAAGGUCGAGUAACUGGGCUCUUUCAUCUAAAAAUGUCAGAGUUCACGUCAAAAGACUUGAAUAGCUCUGGACUAAGCAAUCCAAAAAAAAAAAAAAAGACAAAAUCAGAUGUGGAGAGUAUGUGAGUUUAUGAUCAUGUUAGCCUGCCGAUCCUUGGUUCGUAUUGUUGAGAUUUUGGUUGACAGUUGACAUAAUUAUUGACUGUUGCUAGUUAGUAUUUGGAUUUCCUAAGCGAAUUAGCCAUGAAUUGGACAGGUCUAUGAACUUAGGAGCUAACCGGGAGAGACAUGUCUUGACACUAAGUCACUAGAUCUUGAUUUUGGGUAUACGCACAGUUGGCUAUGAUAAUGUGGAAGCUAGCCAUUGUUGAGCUAAAUUUUCCUCAUGCUUGAGGGCAAGCAUGAUUCAGGUGUGGGGGGAAUUGAUAGGGCACAAUUUGUUAGUGAUUUUAUUAUUAAUUUCCCCUUUUACCCCUGAUAAAUAUUGUGUUAAUUGCUGAUAUUUACUCAUAUUUGGUAUCUGGACUUAAUUUCAGGAAUAAAGCAGAAAACUACCAAAAAGGAGGGACUCUAUGGAAAAUGUGGAGACUCCUAAGAGCUUCAAUGCUUGGGCCCUUGAAUUGGUGGGGACCACAAGCUAGUGGAAAGCAUCUAGUCAAUUGGGCUCUUAAAAGAAAGCUACGGAAAGAGAUUUGGGGCAAGAAGUACUUUGAAGGCUUUGUCCACAUGUGUGGGGACCACCUAGAUAGACUUUAGUCAUCUUUCUUUUGUUGCUUAAAUAGGGAUAACGUAGAGUAGGAGGGACAUCUCUAGUUUUAGUCUUUUAGUGUAGCUUUACUUUUUCCUUCUUUUGACUGGCCUCUGACACACGCCAGGUGUUCGACAAAAUUCCCCAACGGGAAAAACAUCUUUUAUUCCUUGCUUUCUAGUAAAAAAAACGCUAUGCCUUUGCAAUCCAUUAAUUCGUGUGGUGAAUUAAUUAUGCGGCGUGGCUAAGUCUCCCAUCUAGUCAAGGGUCAAUUCGACGGCGCAGUCCCGAAAAUCUGUGAGAUCUAAUUAGUUUUCACGCGUUCCUUUAUCUAUUAAUAUUUGCA